GAACCCAACAACUCUCCCAUCCUCCCCAAAUCUUCAAACAUCUCCUCCACCCUUCUUCUCUUCUUCCCUGCCACCGCCACCACCUCUCCUCCCCAAGCCCCCGCCGCCACCGCCUCUCCUCCCACACCCGCCACCACCUCUCCUGCCACCGCGGCACAGCCCCACCGCCGUUUGUCUCUCUCCGUUCUCUCUCUCUCUCUUCUGUGCCUGCCGCUGUGUGCCACCAUCGAGAGGUGUGGGCCGGCCGUUUGAUCGACAAAGAGGGGGGUGUGAAUGUUGCAGGGCAUCUGAGAGAGAAGGGUGUUUAACGAGAACUGAACCGUCGGGCGGUUCGUACUCCGGUCACCGGAGUUCAGUCGGAGAGGGAACCAGAAUACUUCAAUCGGUUUGUACUCCGACAAAGGGGUUGCAUACAUACUUGUAUGUGAAGAUUUUAGUGAUUUGUUGAUAGCUCAAGGGUGUGGGUUUGCUUGUUCGAUUCUGUGUUUCGAGAGAGGAGAGCCAGAGUGUUGUUUCUAUAUGUAUGUGUUUUGAUUGUGUGAGGGAGAUUUGAGAGGAUAAGGUUGCAGAAUCUUUGUGAGAUGUUGUUUGUGCAAACAUUAUCAAUUUAUAAAAACAAACAGUCUUGUAUUUUCAGCUUACAGACCUUCAGACCACAUCUUCAGUUGCAGACAUGAAAACAGAUGAAAUCAGCUUGCAGACAGUUUAUGUCAAACAGCACCUAAAACUGCUUGUCUUCUCGCGAGUGCACCACCACCACCACUGUCUCCGACGAUUCCGGUGGCUAAUACCCUAAUCAAAACGCCGGCCACCCUCCUCCCAUUUGGUCCCUCUCCAUUUUCCCCUCACAUCUACCACUUAUAUACUCGAGGUUGUUUUUCUCCUGUGUUAAUAUGUCUUGCUCUGAUCUUUAAGGGAUUUCUUCCAGCUUUUUGUAAAAUUACAACAACCAGAAUCCAAAAACGCAAGAUUUACAAAAUCAAACUGCACAAGAAAUCAUCAAAUUUCACUAAACCUAGAAAGCAUUCGAUUAAUGGGUUUCGCCGUUUUACCUCAAGAAUUCCAAAUCGUGUAGAAGGAUUUAAAGUUGGAGCGAUUUUGAGAGCCAUGAGCCUUAAAUGGUGUAUCAAAUUUGUCGUUAAGGCAACAAAAAUUUGCAUAAUUAGCUGCGGUUAGAGCUACACGAGCUUAGAUGCAAGCAGUUGCGGUAUAAUUUGUUCGGGUUUCGAGUAAGGGCGCGUCUCUUUAUGUUAUCCCUUUAAUGUUUAUGAUGUACCUGCGCCACAACACGUGCGAGUCUAAUUACUAGUAUAUAUUUAAGUAUCAUUGGUAAAAUAUGUAGU
RNAcentral lists this long non-coding RNA (1343 nucleotides) under Helianthus annuus (common sunflower). RNAcentral's name for it is "hypothetical non coding rna". Lineage: Eukaryota; Viridiplantae; Streptophyta; Magnoliopsida; Asterales; Asteraceae. The record is from RNAcentral.